Molecule: small nuclear RNA, 117 nt
Filed under: Zalophus californianus (California sea lion)
Lineage: Eukaryota; Metazoa; Chordata; Mammalia; Carnivora; Otariidae
Description: U4 spliceosomal RNA (ENSZCAG00015009725.1)
Rfam family: U4 spliceosomal RNA (bases 1-76)
About the family: U4 small nuclear RNA (U4 snRNA) is a component of the major U2-dependent spliceosome. The structure of U4 snRNA from yeast and human has been reported.
Source: RNAcentral
AGCUUUGCGCAGUGGCAGUAUUGUAGCCAAUGAGGUUUAUCCGAGGCGCGAUGAUUGCUAAUUGAAAAAUCCAAUGGGUAAAAAAAGAAAAAAAAAUGUAUUAAGUUGCUUUGACAA